This 495-nucleotide ribosomal RNA is filed under the name uncultured bacterium. RNAcentral describes it as "partial 16S ribosomal RNA". It matches the Rfam family "Bacterial small subunit ribosomal RNA", at positions 28 to 505 of the family's 1533-position model. The record is from RNAcentral.
GAUGAACGCUGGCGGCGUGCCUAAUACAUGCAAGUCGAGCGAACAGACGAGGAGCUUGCUCCUCUGACGUUAGCGGCGGACGGGUGAGUAACACGUGGAUAACCUACCUAUAAGACUGGGAUAACUUCGGGAAACCGGAGCUAAUACCGGAUAAUAUAUUGAACCGCAUGGUUCAAUAGUGAAAGACGGUUUUGCUGUCACUUAUAGAUGGAUCCGCGCCGCAUUAGCUAGUUGGUAAGGUAACGGCUUACCAAGGCAACGAUGCGUAGCCGACCUGAGAGGGGUAUCGGCCACCCGGGAUGGGAGACGCUGCAGAGGCCUCUACGGGGGGCAAGAGGGGGGAAUCUUCCGCAAGGGGGGAAAGCCUAACGGGGCACCGCCGGGUGAGGAAAAAAGGUCGUGGGAUGGAAAACCUCUUUUUGGAGGAAAAAAAAAAUGUGUAGGUAACUAGCCGCUUUUGGGCGGACCCAAAAAAAAAAGCCGGGGCAAACUGCG